UACGUAGGGGGCAAGCGUUGUCCGGAUUUAUUGGGCGUAAAGAGCGUGUAGGCGGCCAGACAGGUCAGCUGUGAAAACUCGAGGCUCAACCUCGAGACGUCGGUUGAAACCGUCUGGCUAGAGUCCGGAAGGGGAGAGUGGAAUUCCCGGUGUAGCGGUGAAAUGCGCAGAUAUCGGGAAGAACACCCGUGGCGAAGGCGGUUCUCUGGGACGGUACUGACGCUGAGACGCGAAAGCGUGGGGAGCGAACAGG
This 253-nucleotide ribosomal RNA is filed under the name uncultured bacterium. RNAcentral describes it as "partial 16S ribosomal RNA". It matches the Rfam family "Bacterial small subunit ribosomal RNA", at positions 524 to 776 of the family's 1533-position model. The record is from RNAcentral.